This 77-nucleotide transfer RNA is filed under the name Methanobacteriota archaeon. RNAcentral describes it as "Euryarchaeota archaeon tRNA-Pro". It matches the Rfam family "tRNA". From Rfam's summary of the family: Transfer RNA (tRNA) molecules are approximately 80 nucleotides in length. Their secondary structure includes four short double-helical elements and three loops (D, anti-codon, and T loops). Lineage: Archaea; Methanobacteriati; Methanobacteriota. The record is from RNAcentral.
CAGGGUAUAGCUUAGUUUGGUAAAGCGUCUGCUUUGGGAGCAGAAGAUCGUAAGUUCGAAUCUUACUACCCUGACCA